Molecule: microRNA, 22 nt
Filed under: Magallana gigas (Pacific oyster)
Lineage: Eukaryota; Metazoa; Mollusca; Bivalvia; Ostreida; Ostreidae
Description: Mgi-Novel-8_3p* (star (passenger))
Source: RNAcentral
ACUUCAAUUUUCUUUUAUCUCU